AGUGAACGCUGGCGGUAGGCCUAACACAUGCAAGUCGAACGGCAGCACAGGAGAGCUUGCUCUCUGGGUGGCGAGUGGCGGACGGGUGAGGAAUACAUCGGAAUCUACUUUUUCGUGGGGGAUAACGUAGGGAAACUUACGCUAAUACCGCAUACGACCUACGGGUGAAAGCAGGGGAUCUUCGGACCUUGCGCGAUUGAAUGAGCCGAUGUCGGAUUAGCUAGUUGGCGGGGUAAAGGCCCACCAAGGCGACGAUCCGUAGCUGGUCUGAGAGGAUGGUCAGCCACCCGGGAAAUGAGACACGGUCCAGACUCCUACGGGAGGCAGCAGUUGGGAAUAUUGGACAAUGGGCGCAAGCCUGAUCCAGCCAUACCGCGUGGGUGAAGAAGGCCUUCGGGUUGUAAAGCCCUUUUGUUGGGAAAGAAAUCCAGCUGGCUAAUACCCGGUUGGGAUGACGGUACCCAAAGAAUAAGCACCGGCUAACUUCGUGCCAGCCGCCGCAGUAA
This 506-nucleotide ribosomal RNA is filed under the name uncultured bacterium. Its description in RNAcentral is "partial 16S ribosomal RNA". It matches the Rfam family "Bacterial small subunit ribosomal RNA", at positions 29 to 523 of the family's 1533-position model. The record is from RNAcentral.